RNAcentral lists this ribosomal RNA (454 nucleotides) under uncultured Porphyromonadaceae bacterium. RNAcentral's name for it is "partial 16S ribosomal RNA". It matches the Rfam family "Bacterial small subunit ribosomal RNA", at positions 341 to 792 of the family's 1533-position model. Lineage: Bacteria; Pseudomonadati; Bacteroidota; Bacteroidia; Bacteroidales; Porphyromonadaceae. The record is from RNAcentral.
ACGGGAGGCAGCAGUGAGGAAUAUUGGUCAAUGGGCGAGAGCCUGAACCAGCCAAGUAGCGUGCAGGAUGACGGCCCUAUGGGUUGUAAACUGCUUUUUCAGGGGAAUAUAGUCACCCACGUGUGGGUGUUGGCAUGUACCCUGCGAAUAAGCAUCGGCUAACUCCGUGCCAGCAGCCGCGGUAAUACGGAGGAUGCGAGCGUUAUCCGGAUUUAUUGGGUUUAAAGGGUGCGCAGGCGGCACGUUAAGUCAGCGGUGAAAUGUCGGGGCUCAACCCGGGCACUGCCGUUGAAACUGGCGAGCUUGAGUACGGAUGAAGUCGGCGGAAUGUGAUGUGUAGCGGUGAAAUGCUUAGAUAUGUCACAGAACACCGAUUGCGAAGGCAGCUGACUAAUCCGCAACUGACGCUCAGGCACGAAAGCGUGGGGAUCGAACAGGAUUAGAUACCCUGGUA